This 816-nucleotide long non-coding RNA is filed under the name Salmo salar (Atlantic salmon). Its description in RNAcentral is "lncRNA (ENSSSAG00000094232.1)". Lineage: Eukaryota; Metazoa; Chordata; Actinopteri; Salmoniformes; Salmonidae. The record is from RNAcentral.
GGGAUAGAAGCCAAAACCCAAGGUCAAGACCACCAACCUGAAAUUAGGAUGGUCAUAGACAUACAGGGGUUGAAGUUCGGCACACCAGCUCCAAGAGUUAGGGCCAAACGGGGUGAUAUAAGGGUCAAGAGGGUAUAAGGGUUAGAAUUAGAUGAGGGGGUAUGAAAGUUAGAUAAGGGGGUAUAAGGGUUAGGGUUAGAUAAGAAGGUAUAAAGGUUAAGGUUAGAUAAAAGGGUAUAAGGGUUAAGGUUAGAACUAAGGGGAUGUAAAGGUUUAAUAAAGAAAUAUAAAGGGUAAACUGAGGGUUAGAUAAGGGGAUGUAAAGGUUUGGGUAGGUAAGGGGGUAUCAAGGUUAGGGUUAGAUAAGCAGGUAUAAGGGUUAGGGUUAGAUAUGGGGUAUAAGGUUAAGGUUAGAGCUAAGGGGAUAUAAAGGUUUAAUAAAGAAAUAUAAAGGGUAAACUGAGGGUUAGAUAAGGGGAUGUAAAGGUUUGGGUAGGUAAGGGGGUAUCAAGGUUAGGAUUAGAUAAGCAGGUAUAAGGGUUAGGGUUAGAUAAGGGGUAUAAGGUUAAGGUUAGAGCUAAGGGGAUAUAAAGGUUACAUAAAGGGAUACAAAAGGUUAAGGUUAGGAUUAUAAGGGAGUAUAAGAGUUAGGGUUAAAUAACGGGGUAUCAAGGUUAGGAUUAGGUAAGCAGGUGUAAAGGUUAGGGUUAGAUAAGGGGAUAUAAAGGUUAAGAUCAGAACUAGAGGGGUAUGAGGAUUAGAUAAAGGGAUAUGAGGGUUCGGGUAGGGGUUAGGUAAGAAAGGUGCAGAGAUUGA